Molecule: ribosomal RNA, 497 nt
Filed under: uncultured bacterium
Lineage: Bacteria
Description: partial 16S ribosomal RNA
Rfam family: Bacterial small subunit ribosomal RNA
Source: RNAcentral
GAUGAACGCUGGCGGCGUGCCUAAUACAUGCAAGUCGAGCGAACGGACGAGAAGCUUGCUUUUCUGAUGUUAGCGGCGGACGGGUGAGUAACACGUGGAUAACCUACCUAUAAGACUGGGAUAACUUCGGGAAACCGGAGCUAAUACCGGAUAAUAUUUUGAACCGCAUGGUUCAAAAGUGAAAGACGGUCUUGCUGUCACUUAUAGAUGGAUCCGCGCUGCAUUAGCUAGUUGGUAAGGUAGCGGCUUACCAAGGCAACGAUGCAUAGCCGACCUGAGAGGGGGAUCGGCCACACUGGAACUGAGACACGGUCCAGACGCCUACGGGAGGCAGCAGUAGGGAAUCUGCCGCAAAGGGCGAAAGCCUGACGGAGCAACGCCGCGUGAGUGAUGAAGGUCUUCGGAUCGUAAAACUCUGUUAUUAGGGAAGAACAUAUGUGUAAGUAACUGUGCACAUCUUGACGGUACCUAAUCAGAAAGCCACGGCUAACUACGUG